Molecule: ribosomal RNA, 262 nt
Filed under: uncultured bacterium
Lineage: Bacteria
Description: partial 16S ribosomal RNA
Rfam family: Bacterial small subunit ribosomal RNA
Source: RNAcentral
UUAGUGGCGGACGGGUGAGUAACGCGUGGGUAACCUGCCUUACACAGGGGGAUAACACUUAGAAAUAGGUGCUAAAACCGCAUAAGCGCACAGCUUCGCAUGAAGCGGUGUGAAAAACUCCGGUGGUGUAAGAUGGACCCGCGUCUGAUUAGCUUGUUGGCGGGGUAACGGCCCACCAAGGCGACGAUCAGUAGCCGGCCUGGGAGGGCGGACGGCCACAUUGGGACUGAGACACGGCCCAGACUCCUACGGAAGGCAGCAG